This 207-nucleotide ribosomal RNA is filed under the name uncultured bacterium. RNAcentral's name for it is "partial 16S ribosomal RNA". It matches the Rfam family "Bacterial small subunit ribosomal RNA", at positions 568 to 774 of the family's 1533-position model. The record is from RNAcentral.
UAGGUAGGUGGUGGCAAAAGUCCGUGGUGAAAUCCCUGAGCUUAACUCAGGACGUGCCAUGGAAACUUUGUCACUAGAGUACUAGAGAGGUUCGUGGAAUUCCUGGUGUAGCGGUGAAAUGCGUAGAGAUCAGGAGGAACAUCAGCGGCGAAGGCGGCGAACUGGAUAGUAACUGACACUCAACUACGAAAGCGUGGGGAGCAAACA